Molecule: small RNA, 74 nt
Filed under: Xanthomonas fragariae
Lineage: Bacteria; Pseudomonadati; Pseudomonadota; Gammaproteobacteria; Lysobacterales; Lysobacteraceae
Description: sX9 sRNA
Rfam family: Xanthomonas sRNA sX9
Source: RNAcentral
AUGUGCCACGCGUACAUGCCGAUUCCUUCGCGCCGUCCGCACCCACUUGGCGACUGCUUUAGAUCCUGUUAACA